UUGAGUAUGGUAGAGGUAAAGGGAAUUUCCAGUGGAGCGGUGAAAUGCGUAGAGAUUGGAAGGAACACCAAAAGCGAAGGCACUUUACUGGUCCAUUACUGACACUGAGAGACGAAAGCUAAGGGAGCAAACGGGAUUAGAUACCCCGGUAGUCUUAGCAGUAAACCAAGGAACUAGAUGUUGUAAAUAUUUACAGUGUCGUAGUUAACGCGUUAAGUAUCCCGCCUGGGAAGUAUGCUCGCAAGAGUGAAACUCAAAGGAAUUGACGGA
RNAcentral lists this ribosomal RNA (270 nucleotides) under uncultured bacterium. RNAcentral describes it as "partial 16S ribosomal RNA". It matches the Rfam family "Bacterial small subunit ribosomal RNA", at positions 642 to 917 of the family's 1533-position model. The record is from RNAcentral.